Molecule: long non-coding RNA, 404 nt
Organism: Xenopus laevis (African clawed frog)
Lineage: Eukaryota; Metazoa; Chordata; Amphibia; Anura; Pipidae
Exons: 2
Source: RefSeq, a predicted model, not a curated record
UGUCCAAUGAACAGGAGGAAUCCCAGCACCGUGCUAAGCACUGUCAUUGAUAUGCUUGUGUUUCCUUGGAGCUGCAGUAGCCACAGGCAACAAUGUAACCUUUACAGUGCUGUAUAGACGUUCAAGCAAUAGCAUCCAGUCAGAAGCCUCUGCAGCUUUCUAGAGCUUGAGAAAUUGACUGUCGUAUUCGCUCACCCUGCUAUUGCCUUAUUUACAGAUCACAUAACAGGACUCAACACUAGGCUUGCCAACUGUGCGAUUUUCACUAGGACAGGUGAAAAUUUCCUGCAUAGAUUUCCCAAUCCAGACAAGACUGUAACAAAAAAAGAUACCGAAAACAGCCAAUCACUGAUCACUGUUUCAUAAGCCCCUAACGUCACCGACCUGCCCACAGAACAACACUG